This 468-nucleotide ribosomal RNA is filed under the name uncultured bacterium. Its description in RNAcentral is "partial 16S ribosomal RNA". It matches the Rfam family "Bacterial small subunit ribosomal RNA", at positions 28 to 507 of the family's 1533-position model. The record is from RNAcentral.
GACGAACGCUGGCGGCGUGCUUAACACAUGCAAGUCGAACGGAAAGGCCCUGCUUUUGUGGGGUGCUUGAGUGGCGAACGGGUGAGUAACACGUGAGUAACCUGCCCUUGACUUUGGGAUAACUUCAGGAAACUGGGGCUAAUACCGGAUAGGAGCUCCUGCUGCAUGGUGGGGGUUGGAAAGUUUCGGCGGUUGGGGAUGGACUCGCGGCUUAUCAGCUUGUUGGUGGGGUAGUGGCUUACCAAGGCUUUGACGGGUAGCCGGCCUGAGAGGGUGACCGGCCACAUUGGGACUGAGAUACGGCCCAGACUCCUACGGGAGGCAGCAGGGGGGAAUAUUGCACAAUGGGCGGAAGCCUGAUGCAGCAACGCCGCGUGCGGGAUGACGGCCUUCGGGUUGUAAACCGCUUUCGCCUGUGACGAAGCGUGAGUGACGGUAAUGGGUAAAGAAGCACCGGCUAACUACGUG